This 2874-nucleotide long non-coding RNA is filed under the name Paramuricea clavata. The record is from RNAcentral. Lineage: Eukaryota; Metazoa; Cnidaria; Anthozoa; Malacalcyonacea; Plexauridae.
GGAUCGUCCUCGCAACACUGCAAGGAUUGCCUGUCGAGUUUGUCUUGAAGAUUUUCAAACAUCAAUAACAUGUAUCCUUUUAAUUGUUUUAAUAUCAAUUUAUACUAUCCCAGCAUUGGAGAAAUUUCUGACCAUGUAUCUAGAUAGGAAUAACAUGGUAAGCAAGCGUGGCGCUGGACUGGACGCGCGAUAGCGUGCACGCGCAUGCAAACACAUGUAAAUAUGUAAACAGUUAUUCUGCGAACUCGAGUCGUAUAUGAGCUGAUAGCCGACGAGGUGCGUAUCUGUCAUAUACGACGAGAGUGAGUAGAAUAACUGUUUAUAGACAACUGCUGCAUUUACACACUCUUCAGUAUGGCAAUAUGUUGACAAUUAGUUUGGCAAUUUACACAACCUCGUAGCCUAAACCUGAGAAAACACUGCUGCUAGUUUUUUAAAUCAGUACUUCGAACAUGAAAUUUUUUUUAGACAAAACAAGUGCUUGUCGACUUUACAGAAAUUCUAUAAAGAGUUUUCGCUUUUAAAUCAGUUUUGUCAAAAAAUUAUAUUCUGAUUCUUGUUCAUGUUUUUAUCUUCGACUUCGCUCUUUCGAGUUUCGUUUUAAAUACUUUAUUGGAUAGUGACCAAACGGUAGGAGUGCGAACGGGACUCGAGGUCCCAUGCGAGGCACUCCUCCGAUUAAAGAUACAACAACAGACAAUACAUGUAGAAUAAAAUAUACAUAACUACAGUCAUAAAUAAACAUAUGCCACCAACUCGAAAAUCAAAGCUAAGAUUUAUCAUGCUUAAAAAUUUCGUUUCGGUAUUAUUCGGUAUUAUUUUUUUCAACAAAAUUUUUUUAACCAGUUUAAAUAUAUAAAAAUAGUAUUGGCUAACAUGGAAACAGUUGCUGGGAGUUUUUCAAUGUGUUUUUGUUGCUGUUAAGCCUUAAGGCUAUAAAAAGCGAAUAACUUGCUGUUUUCUCGUUCGCAAAUAGAAAGCCAAUCAGAUUGCAGAAUAGCUUAUAUCCGGUAGCUGUCUAUAUAAUAAAUAUAUUUAUUGAAAAUAAUUCAAGAGUUUUGAUUGGCUAAGAGCUGUCGGUGAAAUCGUCAUAUCCACUCGUUAGCUGCCUAAAUUGAAAUUUGGAGUUAUGACAUCACAGUGGAAUAUUGAAAACAAAUAUACCACGUUUGACGUAAUUUCGUGGUAUAUUGAAAAACAAAGUACACGGCUUCGGCUGAUAACACAAACCUCGGCCUUAAUAAUUAAAAUGGCUCCCUAAUUUGUGCAGUCAUGUCACUCUAUGGUCCCCACAACCAAUAUCUUUUUGCCUUUUUUUAUCAGUCUUAAGUUCCAAGUACUGUUCAUGAUUCUUUAAUGUUGAAUCAGAUCUCUCGGAACCAGUGGAUGUAUAUAGUGAUUGGAUAGAUGCUUGCGAGUCGGCUAACCAAUAGCAAUGGCUUAACUGAUGAAGAGCGUUGUAAAUAAAUGUGGUGUAGAUUGAUCAAUAAACUUCGCUUCAGCAAAGUUAUUUAACAAUAUGUGGCAUGUGCAUAAUGGAGCCUUGUGGAGUCUCUUCAGAGAACUUGUGGUUCUUUCAGGUCUUUCCACUGUUACUAAAGGCCAACAAAUGGCAAUAUGAAACUGUCUUAUGGAGAGGAUAGAUGAACAGCCAAAUGUCGGUUAUCCUCAAAGUGAAAUAUAAAGGCCCAUCUACACUUAUCCUGGCGUAUGUAAUCAAAAUGUCACAUUUAACAAAUUAUUCUUAUAGAAAGGAAUUGUGGCGUCAGCAGUCAUUUUCAUACGCCAGAAUGACAAUCUCAAGGCCCGUCUGCACGAUUCGACCGGUAGUAUACGAUUCUUACCCUGGAGCCAGUUGCGCAAAGAUGGAUUAGCACUAACUCUCGGUUAAAAUUUGACCUGCUAGCGCUGUUUUAGUUAUGUAUUUCUGCACAUCUGUAUAUUUUAAAAGAAGAAUACUCCUACUGAUCCACACAAAGUUUCUAAACAAAUAUUUCCAAAUUUAUAAACAAGCUGUUGGGAAGUUUGCUUUGAAUUUUAGGUUAACCUAGGGUAAAGCUAAUCGGCUUUUGAACAACCGGCCCCUGGUGUAUGUAUUCGAAUUAAAUAAUUAAUGCGUGUAAAGAUACCACAUUUUCAAAUUUUGCCAUAAACUGAUAAACAUAGUGGUGUCAGCAAUCGUUUUCAUAUGUCCGAAUGACAAUCGUAUACGACUAGACGUAUCGUUUAAAUGAGCCUUUAAACAUAUGACUUUUAUUUUUUUGGUCUGUUUUUGUAAUUUGGUGCGAGGCAAGGUCAGGCAACGAAUAUCGCACUCGCUAUGAGAAUAUCAGGUCCUUUCUCUUUCGCAGAGGUUUCGAAUUUUUUCACUUGUGCAUGCGCGCACAAACACACUCUUCAGCAUCGCGUAAAAAAAUACGCUUAUAGAUUCACGUAUCGCUGUUUUUGAAUGUUGAUCCUGACCCUAAUCCUCACCUGAAGUGUUGACCGUAAUUCAUAACAGCGAGACUCGCAAAAUUCACGGAAACCUCUGCGGAGCAGAGAGAACUCUGGGUAGCAGACCCCACUGAAAAACACGUAUGUGAUGUGGGUAUCCUGGAUAAAUGUUAUUAUUAUUGUUAUUAUUAUUAUUAUUAUUACCAGCAGAGAGGUUCAGGUCUGUUAAACUUCUGUAUGACUUGUGAAAAAUAUAUUAUGUCAUGCAGAAAAAUAUAUUAUGGCCUUUGCCAAAUGAAUACAUGUUUCUGCUACCAAACCAUUUAUAUUUGAAUUGAAUUGAAUUGAUUUAAUGAUUACUGACUUUGUAACCCAAAAAGGUUAAAUUACACCAGUAUUACAUAAAUUAAGAGAAGUUAAAAUUACAUAAUAAUUACG